UGGGGAAUUUUCCGCAAUGGGCGAAAGCCUGACGGAGCAACGCCGCGUGAGGGAUGAAGGCCUCUGGGCUGUAAACCUCUUUUCUCAAGGAAGAAGAUCUGACGGUACUUGAUGAAUAAGCCACGGCUAAUUCCGUGCCAGCAGCCGCGGUAAUACGGGAGUGGCAAGCGUUAUCCGGAAUUAUUGGGCGUAAAGCGUCCGCAGGCGGUCUUUUAAGUCUGUCGUCAAAGCGUGGAGCUUAACUCCAUUUCUGCGAUGGAAACUGGGAGACUAGAGUGUGGUAGGGGCAGAGGGAAUUCCCGGUGUAGCGGUGAAAUGCGUAGAUAUCGGGAAGAACACCAGUGGCGAAGGCGCUCUGCUGGGCCAUAACUGACGCUCAUGGACGAAAGCCAGGGGAGCGAAAGGGAUUAGAUACCCCUGUAGU
RNAcentral lists this ribosomal RNA (424 nucleotides) under uncultured cyanobacterium. RNAcentral describes it as "bacterial SSU rRNA". It matches the Rfam family "Bacterial small subunit ribosomal RNA", at positions 355 to 794 of the family's 1533-position model. Lineage: Bacteria; Bacillati; Cyanobacteriota. The record is from RNAcentral.